GGCGCCGCGGGCGCCGUGCGGGAGGUGCAGCCGCCUUCUAGAGGUGGCCGGUGCCGUUCCACACCCCCGGCACCA
This 75-nucleotide transfer RNA is filed under the name Streptomyces griseus. RNAcentral's name for it is "tRNA-Pyl(cta)". RNAcentral also lists the same sequence under 4 other names. Lineage: Bacteria; Bacillati; Actinomycetota; Actinomycetes; Kitasatosporales; Streptomycetaceae. The record is from RNAcentral.